This 69-nucleotide transfer RNA is filed under the name Geospiza fortis (medium ground-finch). RNAcentral's name for it is "tRNA-Gly". Lineage: Eukaryota; Metazoa; Chordata; Aves; Passeriformes; Thraupidae. The record is from RNAcentral.
GCUCUUCUAGUAUAUCAAUUACAAUCNACUUCCAAUCCUUAGAAUCUGGUUUAAGCCCAGAGAAGAGCA